Molecule: small nucleolar RNA, 131 nt
Organism: Mastomys coucha (southern multimammate mouse)
Lineage: Eukaryota; Metazoa; Chordata; Mammalia; Rodentia; Muridae
Product: small nucleolar RNA SNORA17
Exons: 1
Source: RefSeq, a predicted model, not a curated record
UCACCCCUAAAGUGGUUGCAGGUAUGAGUGCUCUGUCAAAUGUGCAUCCAUAGGUUGGAGAGAAGAGAGAGGCUAUGUCUACCCUCAGUACUCUGACCUGUAAAUACAUAAAUGAAUAGUAGCCUAAUAUU